This 144-nucleotide unclassified non-coding RNA is filed under the name uncultured Agaricomycetes. RNAcentral describes it as "sequence contains ITS1". The record is from RNAcentral. Lineage: Eukaryota; Fungi; Basidiomycota; Agaricomycetes.
CAGGACACUUGGAGCCGGAUUGUAGCUGGCCUUUAAGGCAUGUGCACGUCCCUCCUUACAUCCACAUACACCUGUGCACAAAGAGGUCAUCACCUCGCUUACACAUACUCUUUGUAUAUGCAUGUUUCAUUAUUAAUAUUAUUA